This 299-nucleotide signal recognition particle RNA is filed under the name Carlito syrichta (Philippine tarsier). RNAcentral describes it as "Metazoan signal recognition particle RNA (ENSTSYG00000034856.1)". It matches the Rfam family "Metazoan signal recognition particle RNA". From Rfam's summary of the family: The signal recognition particle (SRP) is a universally conserved ribonucleoprotein. It is involved in the co-translational targeting of proteins to membranes. The record is from RNAcentral. Lineage: Eukaryota; Metazoa; Chordata; Mammalia; Primates; Tarsiidae.
UCCAGUCAUGGUGGCAUGUGCCUGCAGUUCCAGCUACUUGGGAGGCUGAGGUGGGAGGAUCACUUGAGCCCAGGAGUUCUGGGCUGUGGGGUGCUAUGCUGAUUCAGUGUUCGCACUAAGUUUGGCAUCAAUAUGGUGUCCUCUUGGGAGCAGGGGACCACCAGGUUGCCUAAGGAGGGUUGAACUGACCCAGGUCGGAAAUGGAGCAGGUAAAAACUCCCGUGCUGAUCAGUCAUGGAACUGCACCUGUGAAUAUCCACUGCACUCCAGCCUGGGCAGUAUAGCCAGACUCUGUCUCU